CCUACGGGGGGCAGCAGUGAGGAAUAUUGGUCAAUGGGCGCAAGCCUGACCCAGCAAUGCCGCGUGAAGGAAGAAGGCUUUCGGGUUGUAAACUUCUUUGACAGGGGAAGAGCAGAAGACGGUACCCUGAAAACAAGCCACGGCUAACUACGUGCCAGCAGCCGCGGUAAUACGUAGGUGGCAAGCGUUGUCCGGAUUUACUGGGUGUAAAGGGCGUGUAGCCGGGAAGGCAAGUCAGAUGUGAAAUCUGGAGGCUCAACCUCCAAAUUGCAUUUGAAACUGUUUUUCCUGAGUACUGGAGAGGCAGACGGAAUUCCUUGUGUAGCGGUGAAAUGCGUAGAUAUAAGGAGGAACACCAGUGGCGAAGGCGGUCUGCUGGACAGCAACUGACGGUGAGGCGCGAAAGCGUGGGGAGCAAACAGGAUUAGAUACCCCGGUAGUC
Molecule: ribosomal RNA, 442 nt
Filed under: uncultured bacterium
Lineage: Bacteria
Description: partial 16S ribosomal RNA
Rfam family: Bacterial small subunit ribosomal RNA
Source: RNAcentral